AAAUAAGAAGUAAUAAUUACAUUUAAUUUCGACUUAAAAAAAUUGGUGAUCAAACUCACCCUUAUUUA
RNAcentral lists this transfer RNA (68 nucleotides) under Trechini sp. BMNH 840194. Its description in RNAcentral is "tRNA-Arg". The record is from RNAcentral. Lineage: Eukaryota; Metazoa; Arthropoda; Insecta; Coleoptera; Carabidae.